RNAcentral lists this long non-coding RNA (1537 nucleotides) under Homo sapiens (human). RNAcentral describes it as "HSALNT0312762". Lineage: Eukaryota; Metazoa; Chordata; Mammalia; Primates; Hominidae. The record is from RNAcentral.
AUCUAGAAUUAAGACACUGAGUGGGAAGAGAGAUACAAAUAUGUCCAUAGAAAUAUGGAAGGUUUUAAGCCAGAAAAUCCUUAAAUGAAGGUCUGUAGCAGUAUCUCUCCAGAUAUUUAAAAAUACAAUGAUCACCAAAAUAUGCUAUAAAUGUUUAAAAUGGACUCCUAUCGAAAGUUCAGAGGUUAAAGAUGAUGUUGUUUAUGGUACUCCUAGAAAUUGAUUCUUCUUUAUUUUUUCUUUUCGUUGAGUUUAAUUGCCACUAGAAUUAUUUUCAAGUUAAGAAGAUAAGAGGAUUGACUUUUUAAACUUCAAAAUGAACUUCCCUGCUGUGACUGACUAUAUUCCCCAGUAUGGAGAAUUAUGAGGAACCUGUUGAACAGAAAAGUCUCUGACCAUAAUCAAGGUCACACAGUCAGAAGGCAUCCCAGCAGACACUCCACACUAGCCAAUGUGGAUUCAGAGACUGCACCCUUGAUUACUGUGUUGUUUGAUGAUACUAGUGCACCUUCAUGAAUCAGAACUUUCCAUAUAUGGAGGUUAUUCAGCAUGUCCUUUGUGAGUAAUGGUUACAGGUAUAAGGUGCAUACAGGUAGAUGUGAAGAAGGCAGUGGAGGAUAACAGGAAAAUGGAAGAGAAUGAGGAAAUGUAUGGUCCUGUGGAAGAAACACUGGAAUUAAGGUCAGAGUUCUCAGCUUUAAAUUCAUUCUGCACCCUUCUAAGAGUAACUGUGGACAAUUUCUUUAAUCUUCUUUUGAGGUUCACUUUCUCCAUCAGCCUGUAGGAGAAUACAGGGUCUGAAAAAAAAAUCCUUGAGAUGCUUGCCUCAUAGGCUCCUACAUCAGAUGAUGUGUGAUGGUGGCUUCCGGCAUCAAUUGCGGGCAAGGCUGAAUCCAGGUUUUGGGGGCCUGAAGCUUAAUCAAUGUGGAGGACCUCUUUGAGGAAAAGCAUGCAAAAUUACAAAUACAAAAUUAGUUUAAAAACAUCUGAGGAAGAUAGAAAACAUUUUAUCUUUCAAGAUAAAAAAAGAAAAGCUCUUUGCCAACAGAAAACAUAAUAUGCGGACUCUAUGGCUAUUGUUUCUGAAAAAUAUAAGAGAUGAUUACAUCACAUUGUGUAUUCUGUAGGAAAAACACUGUAAUGCUUAUAUGGCUAAUAAUGGAAUGAUCUAAGUCAAUAUAUUGUGCAGUUUUGAGUGACAGAAGAAUUACACCAUUAUUCUUUGUAUUUUGGUUUCUGCACUAAGUUAGUCAUGUUCACUGUUUCAUCAUCAAUUAUCAUUCACUCAUUUUAUAAAAUUUUAGCAUCUGCAUUUAAUGUUACUGUAUGGUUUCUGUUUACUACAGCUGGUUGCAAUAGACACAGAUGACAAUUUCAGAGCUGUGUAUAAAAGGUCACAAAAAGUAAACAUUCAAAACAGAAACAUCUUACUUCCAGAAAGUAUAAAAUUGACGUAUGAGUAAGAUGUCAAAAGUUAUGAAAACUGGAAUGUGUUCAUCUCAUUACAUGUAAAUGCAUCUAUUUGAAAAAUGUGUUU